Molecule: ribosomal RNA, 497 nt
Filed under: uncultured bacterium
Lineage: Bacteria
Description: partial 16S ribosomal RNA
Rfam family: Bacterial small subunit ribosomal RNA
Source: RNAcentral
GAUGAACGCUGGCGGCGUGCCUAAUACAUGCCAGUCGAGCGAACAGACGAGGAGCUUGCUCCUCUGACGUUAGCGGCGGACGGGUGAGUAACACGUGGAUAACCUACCUAUAAGACUGGGAUAACUUCGGGAAACCGGAGCUAAUACCGGAUAAUAUAUUGAACCGCAUGGUUCAAUAGUGAAAGACGGUUUUGCUGUCACUUAUAGAUGGAUCCGCGCCGCAUUAGCUAGUUGGUAAGGUAACGGCUUACCAAGGCAACGAUGCGUAGCCGACCUGAGAGGGUGAUCGGCCACACUGGAACUGAGACACGGUCCAGACUCCUACGGGAGGCAGCAGUAGGGAAUCUUCCGCAAUGGGCGAAAGCCUGACGGAGCAACGCCGCGUGAAUGAUGAAGGUCUUCGGAUCGUAAAACUCUGUUAUAAGGGAAGAACAAAUGUGUAAGUAACUAUGCACGUCUUGACGGUACCUAAUCAGAAAGCCACGGCUAACUACGUG